This 742-nucleotide ribosomal RNA is filed under the name uncultured Bacillus sp. RNAcentral's name for it is "bacterial SSU rRNA". It matches the Rfam family "Bacterial small subunit ribosomal RNA", at positions 28 to 751 of the family's 1533-position model. The record is from RNAcentral. Lineage: Bacteria; Bacillati; Bacillota; Bacilli; Caryophanales; Bacillaceae.
GACGAACGCUGGCGGCGUGCCUAAUACAUGCAAGUCGAGCGGACCGACGGGAGCUUGCUCCCUUAGGUCAGCGGCGGACGGGUGAGUAACACGUGGGUAACCUGCCUGUAAGACUGGGAUAACUCCGGGAAACCGGGGCUAAUACCGGAUGCUUGAUUGAACCGCAUGGUUCAAUCAUAAAAGGUGGCUUUCAGCUACCACUUACAGAUGGACCCGCGGCGCAUUAGCUAGUUGGUGAGGUAACGGCUCACCAAGGCGACGAUGCGUAGCCGACCUGAGAGGGUGAUCGGCCACACUGGGACUGAGACACGGCCCAGACUCCUACGGGAGGCAGCAGUAGGGAAUCUUCCGCAAUGGACGAAAGUCUGACGGAGCAACGCCGCGUGAGUGAUGAAGGUUUUCGGAUCGUAAAACUCUGUUGUUAGGGAAGAACAAGUACCGUUCGAAUAGGGCGGCACCUUGACGGUACCUAACCAGAAAGCCACGGCUAACUACGUGCCAGCAGCCGCGGUAAUACGUAGGUGGCAAGCGUUGUCCGGAAUUACUGGGCGUAAAGCGCGCGCAGGCGGUUUCUUAAGUCUGAUGUGAAAGCCCCCGGCUCAACCGGGGAGGGUCAUUGGAAACUGGGGAACUUGAGUGCAGAAGAGGAGAGUGGAAUUCCACGUGUAGCGGUGAAAUGCGUAGAGAUGUGGAGGAACACCAGUGGCGAAGGCGACUCUCUGGUCUGUAACUGACGCUGAGG